Molecule: ribosomal RNA, 254 nt
Filed under: uncultured bacterium
Lineage: Bacteria
Description: partial 16S ribosomal RNA
Rfam family: Bacterial small subunit ribosomal RNA
Source: RNAcentral
UACGAACUGUGCAAACGUUAUUCGGAAUCACUGGGCUUAAAGGGUGCGUAGACGGCUAUCUAAGUCGGGUGUGAAAGCCCCGGGCUCAACCUGGGAAUUGCAUUCGAGACUGAAUAGCUAGGGGUACGGUAGAGGGAAGCGGAAUUUCCGGUGUAGCGGUGAAAUGCGUAGAUAUCGGAAGGAACAUCAGUGGCGAAAGCGGCUUCCUGGACCAGUACCGACGUUCAGGCACGAAAGCGUGGGGAGCAAACAGG